UGAGGAAAGAUCAGGGGAAUCUACUACACAUAAAAUGCACUGUGAUUAUUCAGUUCCACCUGGAGAAUAAAAUAUCUUCCAACAGCUUCAGUGAGCCUUCACUAGGCUUCACCUUGAUGGAACACACCUCACAGACAGAAGUCCACACCAAUCGGCCUAUUCUCAUUGGUCCCCCUAUUGUGAGAGCCAACUGAUUUGGAUGGAAUUGAAUAUUCUCUUGAAGGUUCAAAGGAACAGAGAGCAGAGACACUAUGAUGGGUAUGAGAAAAAAUGACAGAGUUGGAUCAGGGCACUGUGCUGUGUUGAAGAUUAC
Myotis lucifugus (little brown bat) is the source of this 313-nucleotide long non-coding RNA. RefSeq lists it as uncharacterized. The transcript has 3 exons. The record is from RefSeq and is a predicted model, not a curated record. Lineage: Eukaryota; Metazoa; Chordata; Mammalia; Chiroptera; Vespertilionidae.